Molecule: ribosomal RNA, 468 nt
Filed under: uncultured bacterium
Lineage: Bacteria
Description: partial 16S ribosomal RNA
Rfam family: Bacterial small subunit ribosomal RNA
Source: RNAcentral
GACGAACGCUGGCGGCGUGCUUAACACAUGCAAGUCGAACGGAAAGGCCCUGCUUUUGUGGGGUGCUCGAGUGGCGAACGGGUGAGUAACACGUGAGUAACCUGCCCUUGACUUUGGGAUAACUUCAGGAAACUGGGGCUAAUACCGGAUAGGAGCUCCUGCUGCAUGGUGGGGGUUGGAAAGUUUCGGCGGUUGGGGAUGGACUCGCGGCUUAUCAGCUUGUUGGUGGGGUAGUGGCUUACCAAGGCUUUGACGGGUAGCCGGCCUGAGAGGGUGACCGGCCACAAUGGGACUGAGAUACGGACCAGACUCCUACGGGAGGCAGCAGUGGGGAAUAUUGCACAAUGGGCGGAAGCCUGAUGCAGCAACGCCGCGUGCGGGAUGACGGCCUUCGGGUUGUAAACCGCUUUCGCCUGUGACGAAGCGUGAAUGACGGUAAUGGGUAAAGAAGCACCGGCUAACUACGUG